AAGCAGCCUGGAGCAGAAGGAGUCUCAAAUGCACGGGCACCACUUGCACUGCAGCUGAGGAUCCCCAGACAGCAGCAUCCCCACCCCCAGGUGGUAUGCUCUGGGGCAAUAGGAAUGGCUGGGUUACAGCACUAAAGCACAUUCUGUUUCUAGGGGAGCAUGGCAACAGAGCCCCAGCUGUCAGGCCAUUCUCCCUAUCUCAGCAUGUUCUAGCGAUUAUUGAGAACUACAAGUAAGAAGGGCGCUGGGGGAAGGUCAGUUUGAUGCUUUCUGGAGAGCUAUCCUUCCAAGGUGGAGGAUCCUAUCUUGGAUACCACAUUACCUUAAACGCUGCCUCAGCCAGGUGAUCAAGGUCAACGUCUACUGUGAGCACCAGGAAGAAGGAAGUAGACAGAAGCCACAGCUGCAUGGGGAAAGAAGAUCUGGAUGCAGAGUCCUGGGCACCCUGCUCCUGCGGCACUGAAGUCCAUGGCAGCAGUGUCUGGGUCCACACUGAGACUACGCAUCACCUGCUCCCUGGUGUAUCUUUCCCAUGUCUUCAACCUUCUGUUAUACUUUUCAAGCUCUCUUUUCCUUUUUCUCUACUUCUCUUUUAAUUUACUUUUCAACUUCCCCUACUCUUUCCUCUCUAUUGUCCAGUUGUGGCAGAUGGUUAAAACUGUCAUUUUGCCCAUGGAUUUGCUCACUGAUUCUGGUUUCUUUUCCAAUUUAUUUUUAAAAUUUCAAUUAUUUUGGGGGUACAGGUGGUUUGUCUUUACAUGGUUGUUGGUUUAUUAAAUAGAGUGCCCUUUUCCCAAUGUAUGUUUUUGUAUGCUU
Molecule: long non-coding RNA, 816 nt
Organism: Symphalangus syndactylus (siamang)
Lineage: Eukaryota; Metazoa; Chordata; Mammalia; Primates; Hylobatidae
Source: RefSeq, a predicted model, not a curated record